AUUGAACGCUGGCGGCAGGCCUAACACAUGCAAGUCGAACGAGUGGCGGACGGGUGAGUAAUGUCUGGGAACCUGCCUGAUGGAUGGGGCUAACUACUGGAAACGGUAGCUAAUACCGCAUACCAUCGGAUGUGCCCAGCUGGGAUUAGCUAGUAGGUGGGGUAAAGGCUCACCUCGGCGACGAUCCCUAGCUGGUCUGAGAGGAUGACCGGCUAAACUGGAACUGAGACACGGUGCAGACUCCGACGGGAGGCAGAAGUGGGGAAUAUUGCAGAAUGGGCGCAAGCCGGAUGCAGCCAUGCCGCGUGUAGGAAGAAGGCCUUCGGGUUGUAAAGUACUUUCAGUGGGGCGGCGUUACCCGCAGAAGAAGCACCGGCUAACUCCGGGCCAGCAGCCGCGGUAAUAC
This 406-nucleotide ribosomal RNA is filed under the name uncultured bacterium. RNAcentral describes it as "partial 16S ribosomal RNA". It matches the Rfam family "Bacterial small subunit ribosomal RNA", at positions 30 to 526 of the family's 1533-position model. The record is from RNAcentral.